GAUGAACGCUGGCGGCGUGCCUAAUACAUGCAAGUCGAGCGAACGGACGAGAAGCUUGCUUCUCUGAUGUUAGCGGCGGACGGGUGAGUAACACGUGGAUAACCUACCUAUAAGACUGGGAUAACUUCGGGAAACCGGAGCUAAUACCGGAUAAUAUUUUGAAUCGCAUGGUUCAAAAGUGAAAGACGGUCCUGCUGUCACUUAUAGAUGGAUCCGCGCUGCAUUAGCUAGUUGGUAAGGUAACGGCUUACCAAGGCAACGAUGCAUAGCCGACCUGAGAGGGUGAUCGGCCACACUGGAACUGAGACACGGUCCAGACUCCUACGGGAGGCAGCAGUAGGGAAUCUUCCGCAAUGGGCGAAAGCCUGACGGAGCAACGCCGCGUGAGUGAUGAAGGUCUUCGGAUCGUAAAACUCUGUUAUUAGGGAAGAACAUAUGUGUAAGUAACUGUGCACAUCUUGACGGUACCUAAUCAGAAAGCCACGGCUAACUACGUG
RNAcentral lists this ribosomal RNA (497 nucleotides) under uncultured bacterium. RNAcentral's name for it is "partial 16S ribosomal RNA". It matches the Rfam family "Bacterial small subunit ribosomal RNA", at positions 28 to 507 of the family's 1533-position model. The record is from RNAcentral.